This 500-nucleotide ribosomal RNA is filed under the name uncultured bacterium. RNAcentral describes it as "partial 16S ribosomal RNA". It matches the Rfam family "Bacterial small subunit ribosomal RNA", at positions 30 to 523 of the family's 1533-position model. The record is from RNAcentral.
AUUGAACGCUGGCGGCAUGCCUUACACAUGCAAGUCGAACGGCAGCACGGGAGCAAUCCUGGUGGCGAGUGGCGAACGGGUGAGUAAAGUAUCGGAACGUGCCCAGUCGUGGGGGAUAACGUAGCGAAAGUUACGCUAAUACCGCAUACGAUCUAUGGAUGAAAGCGGGGGAUCGCAAGACCUCGCGCGAUUGGAGCGGCCGAUAUCAGAUUAGGUAGUUGGUGGGGAAAAGGCUCACCAAGCCGACGAUCUGUAGCUGGUCGGGGAGGACGACCAGCCACACUGGGACUGAGACACGGCCCAGACUCCUACGGGAGGCAGCAGUGGGGAAUUUUGGACAAUGGGCGAAAGCCUGAUCCAGCCAUGCCGCGUGCAGGAUGAAGGCCUUCGGGUUGUAAACUGCUUUUGUACGGAACGAAAAGGUUUGGCCUAAUAAGCUGAGCUCAUGACGGUACCGUAAGAAUAAGCACCGGCUAACUACGUGCCAGCCGCCGCCGUAA